UGAUAAUUCCCACCAAGCUGCUCU
RNAcentral lists this non-coding RNA (24 nucleotides) under Rattus norvegicus (Norway rat). Lineage: Eukaryota; Metazoa; Chordata; Mammalia; Rodentia; Muridae. The record is from RNAcentral.